UGCUCUUCUUGGAUGAGUUGCGAACGGGUGAGUAACGCGUAGGUAACCUGCCUUGUAGCGGGGGAUAACUAUUGGAAACGAUAGCUAAUACCGCAUAACAAUGGAUGACACAUGUCAUUUAUUUGAAAGGGGCAAUUGCUCCACUACAAGAUGGACCUGCGUUGUAUUAGCUAGUAGGUGAGGUAACGGCUCACCUAGGCGACGAUACAUAGCCGACCUGAGAGGGUGAUCGGCCACACUGGGACUGAGACACGGCCCAGACUCCUACGGGAGGCAGCAGUAGGGAAUCUUCGGCAAUGGGGGCAACCCUGACCGAGCAACGCCGCGUGAGUGAAGAAGGUUUUCGGAUCGUAAAGCUCUGUUGUAAGUCAAGAACGAGUGUGAGAGUGGAAAGUUCACACUGUGACGGUAGCUUACCAGAAAGGGACGGCUAACUACGUGCCAGCAGCCGCGGUAAUACGUAGGUCCCGAGCGUUGUCCGGAUUUAUUGGGCGUAAAGCGAGCGCAGGCGGUUUGAUAAGUCUGAAGUUAAAGGCUGUGGCUCAACCAUAGUUCGCUUUGGAAACUGUCAAACUUGAGUGCAGAAGGGGAGAGUGGAAUUCCAUGUGUAGCGGUGAAAUGCGUAGAUAUAUGGAGGAACACCGGUGGCGAAAGCGGCUCUCUGGUCUGUAACUGACGCUGAGGCUCGAAAGCGUGGGGAGCGAACAGGAUUAGAUACCCUGGUAGUCCACGCCGUAAACGAUGAGUGCUAGGUGUUGGAUCCUUUCCGGGAUUCAGUGCCGCAGCUAACGCAUUAAGCACUCCGCCUGGGGAGUACGACCGCAAGGUUGAAACUCAAAGGAAUUGACGGGGGCCCGCACAAGCGGUGGAGCAUGUGGUUUAAUUCGAAGCAACGCGAAGAACCUUACCAGGUCUUGACAUCCCGAUGCUAUUUCUAGAGAUAGAAAGUUACUUCGGUACAUCGGUGACAGGUGGUGCAUGGUUGUCGUCAGCUCGUGUCGUGAGAUGUUGGGUUAAGUCCCGCAACGAGCGCAACCCCUAUUGUUAGUUGCCAUCAUUCAGUUGGGCACUCUAGCGAGACUGCCGGUAAUAAACCGGAGGAAGGUGGGGAUGACGUCAAAUCAUCAUGCCCCUUAUGACCUGGGCUACACACGUGCUACAAUGGUUGGUACAACGAGUUGCGAGUCGGUGACGGCAAGCUAAUCUCUUAAAGCCAAUCUCAGUUCGGAUUGUAGGCUGCAACUCGCCUACAUGAAGUCGGAAUCGCUAGUAAUCGCGGAUCAGCACGCCGCGGUGAAUACGUUCCCGGGCCUUGUACACACCGCCCGUCACACCACGAGAGUUUGUAACACCCGAAGUCGGUGAGG
RNAcentral lists this ribosomal RNA (1367 nucleotides) under Streptococcus sp. 2011_Oral_MS_C7. Its description in RNAcentral is "bacterial SSU rRNA". It matches the Rfam family "Bacterial small subunit ribosomal RNA", at positions 79 to 1435 of the family's 1533-position model. The record is from RNAcentral. Lineage: Bacteria; Bacillati; Bacillota; Bacilli; Lactobacillales; Streptococcaceae.